Molecule: transfer RNA, 76 nt
Filed under: Candidatus Dojkabacteria bacterium
Lineage: Bacteria
Description: tRNA-Gly
Rfam family: tRNA
About the family: Transfer RNA (tRNA) molecules are approximately 80 nucleotides in length.
Source: RNAcentral
GCGGGGGUAGUUCAGCUGGUAGAACGUCUGCUUCCCAAGCAGAAGGUCGCGGGUUCGAUCCCCGUCUCCCGCUCCA